UACAGAGGUCUCAAGCGUUGUUCGGAUUCAUUGGGCGUAAGGGGUGCGUAGGCGGCGCGGUAAGUCGGGUGUGAAAUCUUGGAGCUUAACUCCGAAACUGCAUUCGAUACUGCCGUGCUUGAGGACUGGAGAGGAGACUGGAAUUUACGGUGUAGCGGUGAAAUGCGUAGAUAUCGUAAGGAAGACCAGUGGCGAAGGCGGGUCUCUGGACAGUUCCUGACGCUGAGGCACGAAGGUCAGGGGAGCAAACGGG
This 253-nucleotide ribosomal RNA is filed under the name uncultured bacterium. RNAcentral's name for it is "partial 16S ribosomal RNA". It matches the Rfam family "Bacterial small subunit ribosomal RNA", at positions 524 to 776 of the family's 1533-position model. The record is from RNAcentral.